AUCACCAAGGGAUGUGACGGCACAGUUUCACAAUCCACGAGCCACAGGCUGGCCUCCCACUAACAUGGGACUGGAACUACUUCCCACCAUGCCUCCCAGCACUGCCAGUAUCCAGCAGGACACACUCCUCUCUCAGAUGUGGUGCUGUGAAAAGCGCUAUUAAAUCUGAGUUACUGACAAAGAAGGUGUUGGUAUUUAUAGAAAAUGAGGAACUACCUCAGAAAUUCUACAGAUGUAAUUGUGUCUAUUGUAUCAACAAGUCCCGCUGGAUAAAAAUAGGAAUGACAAUAUCUAGGGUGUCCUGCCCAUUAGUCCAACUGGUGAUGAGUAAUGCAGCCAAAUGCACGUCAGUAAAUCCUACCCAGUAAAUCCUACCUACCACACCAUGCUUCAGAAACCCUCUUGGCACUCUUCUUUAAGAGAGAAGCCACAAAAGCAUAAAGGUUUAAUCUGCAUGUAUUCAAAAUCAUGAUGAGGCAAAGAUUCAAAUAAAGUGUAUUAGUUGCUCCAAAUAUGUCUCAGUAAAAAACUAUCUCUGCUUACAAUUCAAAGAUUGUACCCUCUU
Molecule: non-coding RNA, 565 nt
Organism: Taeniopygia guttata (zebra finch)
Lineage: Eukaryota; Metazoa; Chordata; Aves; Passeriformes; Estrildidae
Source: RefSeq, a predicted model, not a curated record